AUUGAACGCUGGCGGCAGGCUUAACACAUGCAAGUCGAACGAAGUUAGGAAGCUUGCUUCUGAUACUUAGUGGCGGACGGGUGAGUAAUGCUUAGGAAUCUGCCUAGUAGUGGGGGAUAACUUGGGGAAACCCAAGCUAAUACCGCAUACGACCUACGGGUGAAAGGGGGCUUUUAGCUCUCGCUAUUAGAUGAGCCUAAGUCGGAUUAGCUGGUUGGUGGGGUAAAGGCCUACCAAGGCGACGAUCUGUAGCUGGUCUGAGAGGAUGAUCAGCCACACUGGGACUGAGACACGGCCCAGACUCCUACGGGAGGCAGCAGUGGGGAAUAUUGCACAAUGGGCGCAAGCCUGAUGCAGCGACGCCGCGUGGGGGAUGAAGGCCUUCGGGUUGUAAACUCCUUUCGCUAGGGACGAAGCUUUGUGUGACGGUACCUAGAUAAGAAGCACCGGCUAACUACGUGCCAGCAGCCGCGGUAAUACGUAGGGUGCGAGCGUUGUCCGGAAUUACUGGGCGUAAAGGGCUCGUAGGUGGUUUGUCGCGUCGUCUGUGAAAUUCUGGGGCUUAACUCCGGGCGUGCAGGCGAUACGGGCAUAACUUGAGUGCUGUAGGGGUAACUGGAAUUCCUGGUGUAGCGGUGAAAUGCGCAGAUAUCAGGAGGAACACCGAUGGCGAAGGCAGGUUACUGGGCAGUUACUGACGCUGAGGAGCGAAAGCAUGGGUAGCGAACAGGAUUAGAUACCCUGGUAGUCCAUGCCGUAAACGGUGGGCGCUAGGUGUGAGGGUCUUUCUACGACUUUCGUGCCGUAGCUAACGCAUUAAGCGCCCCGCCUGGGGAGUACGGCCGCAAGGCUAAAACUCAAAGGAAUUGACGGGGGCCCGCACAAGCGGCGGAGCAUGUGGAUUAAUUCGAUGCAACGCGAAGAACCUUACCUGGCUUGACAUACAUCAGAUCGCUGCAGAGAUGUAGUUUCCCUUUGUGGUUGGUGUACAGGUGGUGCAUGGUUGUCGUCAGCUCGUGUCGUGAGAUGUUGGGUUAAGUCCCGCAACGAGCGCAACCCUUGUCUUAUGUUGCCAGCAUUUGGUUGGGGACUCAUGAGAGACUGCCGGGGUUAACUCGGAGGAAGGUGGGGAUGACGUCAAAUCAUCAUGCCCCUUAUGUCCAGGGCUUCACACAUGCUACAAUGGUCGGUACAACGCGUUGCGACACUGUGAGGUGGAGCGAAUCGCUGAAAGCCGGUCUUAGUUCGGAUUGGGGUCUGCAACUCGACCCCAUGAAGUCGGAGUCGCUAGUAAUCGCAGAUCAGCAAUGCUGCGGUGAAUACGUUCCCGGGCCU
RNAcentral lists this ribosomal RNA (1335 nucleotides) under uncultured bacterium. RNAcentral's name for it is "bacterial SSU rRNA". It matches the Rfam family "Bacterial small subunit ribosomal RNA", at positions 28 to 1381 of the family's 1533-position model. The record is from RNAcentral.